This 161-nucleotide ribosomal RNA is filed under the name uncultured bacterium. RNAcentral describes it as "partial 16S ribosomal RNA". It matches the Rfam family "Bacterial small subunit ribosomal RNA", at positions 355 to 507 of the family's 1533-position model. The record is from RNAcentral.
UGAGGAAUUGUGCGCAAUGGGCGAAAGCCUGACGACGCGACGCCGCGUGGAGGAUGAAGGUCUUCGGAUCGUAAACUCCUGUCUAGUGGGACGAAAUCCUGGGAGGUGAACAUCCUUCCCGGUUGACGGUACCGCUGGAGGAAGCCCCGGCUAACUCCGUG